GCACCCUGAUCCAGCAAUGCCGCGUGUGUGAAGAAGGCCUUCGGGUUGUAAAGCACUUUUGUCCGGAAAGAAAACCAUCGCCCUAAUAUGGUGGUGGGAUGACGGUACCGGAAGAAUAAGCACCGGCUAACUACGUGCCAGCAGCCGCGGUAAUACGUAGGGUGCGAGCGUUAAUCGGAAUUACUGGGCGUAAAGCGUGCGCAGGCGGUCUGUUAAGACCGAUGUGAAAUCCCCGGGCUUAACCUGGGAACUGCAUUGGUGACUGGCAGGCUUUGAGUGUGGCAGAGGGGGGUAGAAUUCCACGUGUAGCAGUGAAAUGCGUAGAGAUGUGGAGGAAUACCGAUGGCGAAGGCAGCCCCCUGGGCCAACACUGACGCUCAUGCACGAAAGCGUGGGGAGCAAACAGGAUUAGAUACCCUGGUAGUCCACGCCCUAAACGAUGUCAACUAGUUGUUGGGGAUUCAUUUCCUUAGUAACGUAGCUAACGCGUGAAGUUGACCGCCUGGGGAGUACGGUCGCAAGAUUAAAACUCAAAGGAAUUGACGGGGACCCGCACAAGCGGUGGAUGAUGUGGAUUAAUUCGAUGCAACGCGAAAAACCUUACCUACCCUUGACAUGGUCGGAAUCCCGCUGAGA
RNAcentral lists this ribosomal RNA (636 nucleotides) under Burkholderia sp. IBb370. RNAcentral's name for it is "bacterial SSU rRNA". It matches the Rfam family "Bacterial small subunit ribosomal RNA", at positions 378 to 1006 of the family's 1533-position model. Lineage: Bacteria; Pseudomonadati; Pseudomonadota; Betaproteobacteria; Burkholderiales; Burkholderiaceae. The record is from RNAcentral.